Molecule: ribosomal RNA, 301 nt
Filed under: uncultured bacterium
Lineage: Bacteria
Description: partial 16S ribosomal RNA
Rfam family: Bacterial small subunit ribosomal RNA
Source: RNAcentral
CAGCAGCCGCGGGAAUACGAAGGGUGCAAGCGUUACUCGGAAUUACUGGGCGUAAAGCGUGCGCAGGUGGUGGUUUAAGUCCGUUGUGAAAGCCCUGGGCUCAACCUGGGAAUUGCAGUGGAUACUGGGUCACUAGAGUGUGGUAGAGGAUAGUGGAAUUUCCGGUGUAGCAGUGAAAUGCGUAGAGAUCGGAAGGAACAUCUGUGGCGAGGCGACUAUCUGGGCCAACACUGACACUGAGGCACGAAAGCGUGGGGAGCAAACAGGAUUAGAUACCCCUGUAGUCCCUGUCUCUUAUACA